This 492-nucleotide ribosomal RNA is filed under the name uncultured soil bacterium. RNAcentral's name for it is "bacterial SSU rRNA". It matches the Rfam family "Bacterial small subunit ribosomal RNA", at positions 26 to 517 of the family's 1533-position model. The record is from RNAcentral.
AGAUUGAACGCUGGCGGCAUGCUUUACACAUGCAAGUCGAGCGGCAGCAUGACGUGUAGCAAUACACGUUGAUGGCGAGCGGCGAACGGGUGAGUAAUACAUCGGAACGUGUCCAGUCGUGGGGGAUAACCAGUCGAAAGAUUGGCUAAUACCGCAUACGAUCUACGGAUGAAAGCGGGGGCUCGCAAGAACCUCGCGCUAUUGGAGCGGCCGAAUGUCCGAUUAGCUAGUUGGCGGGGUAAAGGCCACCAAGGCGACGAUCGGUAGCUGGUCUGAGAGGAUGAUCAGCCACACUGGAACUGAGACACGGUCCAGACUCCUACGGGAGGCAGCAGUGGGGAAUUUGGACAAUGGGCGCAAGCCUGAUCCAGCCAUGCCGCGUGAGUGAAGAAGGCCUGGUGUAAGCUCUUCGACGGGACGAAACGGUCCGUGCUAACACCGACGGACUAAUAGACGUACGUACGGAGAAGAAAGACACCGGACUAACUAACG